UCCGUAGGUGGAUAAUUAAGUCAGAGGUGAAAGUCUGCAGCUCAACUGUAGAAUUGCCCUUGAUACUGGUUGUCUUGAGUCAUUGUGAAGUAGUUAGAAUAUGUAGUGUAGCGGUGAAAUGCAUAGAUAUUACAUAGAAUACCAAUUGCGAAGGCAGAUUACUAAUAAUGUACUGACACUGAUGGACGAAAGCGUGGGGAGCGAACAGGAUUAGAUACCCUGGUAGUCC
RNAcentral lists this ribosomal RNA (229 nucleotides) under uncultured bacterium. Its description in RNAcentral is "partial 16S ribosomal RNA". It matches the Rfam family "Bacterial small subunit ribosomal RNA", at positions 568 to 796 of the family's 1533-position model. The record is from RNAcentral.